This 2403-nucleotide long non-coding RNA is filed under the name Cricetulus griseus (Chinese hamster). RNAcentral describes it as "lncRNA (ENSCGRG00015037968.1)". Lineage: Eukaryota; Metazoa; Chordata; Mammalia; Rodentia; Cricetidae. The record is from RNAcentral.
GCAGGAAGUGACAUAGCAGGGAGACUCAUAUUAAGCAAGAAGUGGUUCUUUUUCCCCUUUGCUCUUCCUCCUGCUCUCUGCUCGGAGCCACCAUGUGAUCCUGGGGAUGAGGACACCAAUGAAAGGCAUCCGAUAAGAUAACUCCAGCUGUGGGGCCUCUAAUCCCACUUCUCUGCCACCAGGAUACCACCUUACCCUGAGGAUUCAUCUGAGCAUCUGAGCCCUCAUGAGACUGAUGUCUUUUAAUAUGUAAAGCACCAGAAAUGGAGUGCCUCUCAAUGAGAGUUCCCACGAUGCCCCCCAAACUGCAAGUGGAGGCCUCAUUUUUAAGCUCUUUGAAUGCUUAGUGUCUUUUAUUAAGUUCCUAGGGUAGAGUGAAUGCUUAGUAAAUAAUGAUGAAGGUUUUAAAAUCUCAUUUUACAAAUGAGAAGUCAGAAGUGUUUUGGCUGAUGCGGAUUAACAAGUCAUCCAGUGAGCCAACCUUUAUCCUUGUUUCCCACUGAGCAUAUUCAAUCCAACCUGAUGAGUAACACCAGGUUACAACUACUCGACUGCAGGAGAGCAGAGAGAAGAAUUUUCCUGAAAAAGGACUUGGAAAUGUUGCCAUGGCCAUGGUGCCUCUUCAUAGCAAUAGAGCAAAAGUGGUAUCUCUGCUUGCUACCUGCAGAUCAGGAUGGAAAGCUCUCAGCUACUUCUCCAGUGCCAUGCCUAUCUGCUUCCUGCCAUGCUGAUCAUGGACUAACACUAGUGCUCACAGAAGGCCUUUACCUGAGGAGGAACUAUCUUGGACAAGCCUUUUGUGUCUUGGAAAAGAACGUUGUAGAACAACAAGACAUCACACCUGAGGUCAGAGAUGGACUCUGCUUUGAGAUAGUGAAGAUACCAGAGGGAGAGGUUUCUCUUUGCAGCCCUGCCUGCUUGGAACUAGCCCCAUAGACCACACUGGCCUCUGCCUUCCACGUGCUGGGUUUAAAGGCAUGCACCACCGCCACAUGACUUAUCUUUGUUUUUGGAUUUAAGUGUUGUUUCUUGUCAUGAAGCUGUAGCUGUAAUUUUAGGAUCUAAUAUGACUGUAUUUUUGUAGCAGAAAAUAAUUGAUUUAUAUUUUUAUAUGUGCUAUCAUUUCUAAUUUAUUCCUAUAAUAUUUUUGUUGGCUAUUUGUCGUGCUCAUGUUUCUUUGCCUUCUGCUUUGAUUCAUAUUCCUUGUACUUUCUAAAAUUUACUUCAGGCAUUUGAAAUAUUCUUCUUUUAUCUUUAUUUUAUGUGUAUGAGAGUUUUGCCUGUAGGUGUGUCUGUGUACCAUGCCUUUGCAGUGCCCAUGGGGAUGAGAAGAGGGCAUUACAUCCCUUGAGACUCAAGCAGCAGGUGGUUAUGAGGCACUAUGUGGGAGCUGGGAAUCAAACCUGGGUUCUUUGGAAGAGGAACCAGUGUUUGUAAAUGCUGAGUCAUCUUUCCAGCUCCCACCUCAGCUACUUUUGGUAAAAGUACAUGACUAUGAUUGAAAUAUCAUGGGUGAAGUUGGACACAGGCUUAGUAAUAAAAUCUUUAAAUUUUCCCAUUGUCACGGGCAGACCUACUGUUUGAAAAAAAUUUCUUUGAAAGGAAAUCCUUUAUUUAAUGGAUUCAGAACAGUGCAUCUUGGACUUCUAGUAAAGUAAUUUGUUUUAUCUCUUCAGAGAACAGACGGCAGUGUGUGCCUGAACAGGGUGGGGCAUGGGGUUGAUUCUUUGGAGGAAUUAUCUACACAGGCAGAAUCAUCAACUGUCACAUAUCUAUAGUCAGUCCUGGGACAAUGAUGUAAUUAAACAUAAGCACAGAGGAGAGUUGGGACUGCUCUAGGGCUAUGCUAUGCUUCUAACUUUGAAAGCCUCCCCUACCCCCACCCUAGGUUUAUAAAGACAACAUGGAGGAGGAAGUGGCUAAGGCUAAAGACCUGAUUGGAAGGGAAUUAGAAUUAGUGUUACAUAUGCCUCCUUUGCAACUGGUAUAUGAUAAUUUUGGAAAUUUGCUUAAAUCAGGUUGGAAAGAAAACUAUGAUUAGAAGGUCCAUGGAUGUUUUCCUUGAAUAGACAACUGGAUGACUCCCUUUAGCUAUUUACUAAUUUACCACACCAUAAUUUUUGCAGUAUAGUGGAGUUAAUACUUGUGUGUUUCUUAAAGAACAAGGAUAAGGUGUGCAUGGUAUGUGUGUGUAAAUAACAAGUGUUUUUAUCCUACAAUAAAAUAGUGAUUAAUUUUAUUCGUUGGAAUCUAAAUUUCUUGAGGUCUUGAGAGAUGAUGGCUUAGUGGUUAAGAGCACUUCCUGUUUGGGGGAAAAACGGAGUUUGCUUACAAACACCUACAUUGGGAGGGCUCACAAUUCUAGCUCUAAGGGAUCUUCUGUCCUACCUGGGCACCCACAUG